This 1314-nucleotide long non-coding RNA is filed under the name Marmota monax (woodchuck). The record is from RNAcentral. Lineage: Eukaryota; Metazoa; Chordata; Mammalia; Rodentia; Sciuridae.
CAUUUCUCUAACUGGUUUGACCGCCCUGUUGGUCUGCAGUGAUAUCGUCUUACAUGGUACCCUUCCAGCAAGCUGCAACUCUGCAGGAUUCCUGUUCUGCAUGGAUUCCAGAAACCAGCGCAGUACUCAGAGGUGUUUUGUUUUGUUGUGUUUUUUGGGUACCAGGGAUUGAACUCAGGGGCACUCAAUCACAGAGCCACAUCCCCACCCUAUUUUGUAUUUUAAAAAUAGAGUCAGAGUCUCGCUGAGUUGCUUAGUGCCUCGAUAAAUUGCUGAGGCUGAUUUUGGACUCACAAUCCCCCUGCCUCAGCCUCCUGAGCCGCUGGGAUUCCAGGCAUGCGCCACCGCACCCAGCUUCAGAGGUGUUAAUAGCAUAAGGAUUCCAUUGGGAGUAGAGGCCAAGAAGUGUCCCAUAGCUCACAGGGAUUGUGUUCCAGCGUUGGAAUUAAACCUCUAGGGUGAAUAAAUGAGAACAUUAAAGAAUCUCCUAGGGGUGAUAGGGAGUAAAAAUAAAGAAGGAAUGAACUUGAAAGUGGGUGGCCUCCCUAACCCUGAGAUUUCGUCCUUUUUGGAGGUGUGGUUGCAGCCUCCAGAUGGCAGAGAAGGUCUCUGGGUUGUUCCUGGACAGAACUAGAACACAGAUAAGAGCCAAGACUGGGCAGAGAACCACAGGUUGAGGCUGGUGGGCUGCAGGCCUCCUCCUGGGCCACCUACAACAUCCCCCAGGAGGCUGCUUUUGGAGGAUGCUGCUGGACCUACAGGCUCAGGAAAGGGAGCUGCCUCAGGGGGCUGGGCUUUCCUGGAAACCAACUGGGUCACCCUUGUCCUUUACCAGGAACCCACCCAAGAGAGUAGCACUGAACUCCCCACAGGCUAAGAGGUGGGAUGCCCUCAGAAAGAGCUGUGAAGACACCUGUGAGUGUGACCUUGGAAACUGCUGAGAGGAGCUCCGCUGGCUUCAGAGACCCUGGAGCAAGUAGCAAGCAAAGCACAGAUGGAACCGGAAGCCUCUUCUUUCCCCAUCUUCUGCUGCCCUCUACAGACAGUUUCAUGUUGUGCCAGAUGGCAAGGGGAGCAUAGGCCCAGCACCCAUCAAGGGUGGACUGGGCACUGCCACGCAACAGAUGAUUAACUGUGCAGGAUGCUGGUGGACGGCACUGGUGGAGAGAGCUCUUUCAUAAACACUUUUUGAAAAUGUUUGCUUGAAGGACUAGUCCUGCCCGUUGAGAAAUUAUUCAAAACAAAGAACUCAACGGAAAAAAAAAUUAAGUGUAAAAGAAAAAGCAAAGAACAAUUAAAUCAAUAAAUAAUGCA